RNAcentral lists this long non-coding RNA (251 nucleotides) under Paramuricea clavata. The record is from RNAcentral. Lineage: Eukaryota; Metazoa; Cnidaria; Anthozoa; Malacalcyonacea; Plexauridae.
CUCAUGUCUAAAGGCAAUUUUCCAUUGCAGUCGCUUUGCCCGCGCGGGCGGAGCGAACAUUACUCAACUUUCUCUGUAGUUGCCUAACCUGUGCAUUUUUUGUCCGCCUGAAUGCUCGCGGACACGCCAUGAAAGUAGAACUACAUUCAACUUUCUUGGCGUGCCCGGGCGACUGAUUUUUCACGUGAUUAAAAUUGGUCGCUCCGCCCGCGCGGGCAAAGCGACUGCAAUGGAAAAUGGCCUUAAAGACC